RNAcentral lists this ribosomal RNA (484 nucleotides) under uncultured bacterium. RNAcentral describes it as "bacterial SSU rRNA". It matches the Rfam family "Bacterial small subunit ribosomal RNA", at positions 338 to 819 of the family's 1533-position model. The record is from RNAcentral.
CCUACGGGAGGCAGCAGUAAGGAAUAUUGGACAAUGCCCGCAAGGGUGAUCCAGCCAUGCCGCGUGCAGGAAGAAGGCCCUAUGGGUCGUAAACUGCUUUUACACCGGAGAAAACCUCCCUUCGUGAAGGGAGCUGAUAGUAUGGUGAGAAUAAGCAUCGGCUAACUUCGUGCCAGCAGCCGCGGUAAGACGAAGGAUGCAAGCGUUAUCCGGAUUCAUUGGGUUUAAAGGGAGCGUAGGUGGACUGAUAAGUCAGUGGUGAAAUCUUCGAGCUUAACUCGGAAAUUGCCAUUGAUACUGUUAGUCUUGAGUACAGUUGCUGUGGGCGGAAUAUGACAUGUAGUGGUGAAAUACAUAGAGAUGUCAUAGAACACCGAUUGCGAAGGCAGCUCACAAAGCUGUAACUGACACUGAGGCUCGAAAGUGGNGGAGUACAACAGAGUAGUAUACCUACGUAGUACGCACUAGUAACGAUAUAUACUAC